Molecule: long non-coding RNA, 6491 nt
Organism: Harpia harpyja (harpy eagle)
Lineage: Eukaryota; Metazoa; Chordata; Aves; Accipitriformes; Accipitridae
Exons: 6
Source: RefSeq, a predicted model, not a curated record
ACGACUUCAGAUAUAAACAGCAUGAACAGACAAACUGUUCAAAAGCAAAAUUUCUGUUGGUAAUUGCUUUUAGCAAUUUUAAAAAAGGAGAAGAAAAUUACAUGACAUACUUGCCAAGGUGUCUGCAAGCAGAAUGUUUGUCUCCAGCAUUACCAGCCAAAGUUGUGUAGAUGCUUCAUUAAAAAUGUAGAAAAAGCAAUAUAAAUAUUUUGUAUAUGAAACCACAGCUAAUAUUAAAGAGUUUAACUGUUAUUGCACAGCUCACUGCUAGGGGUAAUCAGCUAGACUUUCUCCUCGCGGCUGAGCACUCCAAGUAGGGCCCCCAGCCCCCUGCUCAAUACAGACGUGCUCUGAGGUAGAACAGGCAGGACAUGAGUCACCCCUUUCCUUAUACCCUGCUACCAGUGGUAAGCUCUUUGAGGUCACUUGAGCUAAAUUAUGUAUCCUCUUGUGUACACGAAAAGGAAGGAUACUGAUGCCUGGUUCAGAAGCAUCAAAUCCAACUGAAAGCCGUGGGAGUUCAGGGGCUGGGCUCAGCGGAGGGUUUUGAAGAGCCUCCUUUGAGGUGUAAAAGGGUAUUUAUCCAGAAUUAUGUGCCUAUGGGAUUCAGGAGGGUUCAGAAAGAUCCUGUACAGCUCUCAACAUGCCUAAACUCAUCAGCGUUUCUCUUUUGGCCUGCACCCUCCUGGUGCUGUCAGCUCUCCUCACUCACCUCUGCGAGGGCAAAUAACGCACUUUCUGCUGACGCCCUGCUAGGGCCAGGGGUUUAGGGUUUCUCUCCGGAUCUUGUCCCGUGCAAUUUGUCUUUGGUAACGCAGAUAAAGCAGGAAACUGUAUCCAGAAAUACAGCAGCUAGUGAUUUGGGGAUUCUCCAUUUUGAGUCCUGAAAGUCAGUAAUCAGUGAUCACAAGGGAGAAGAAAGCUUGGGUCUCUCCACAGGAAAGUGGCAGUCCUUAGCAGUCCACCACUUAUGCAGUCCUCUAGACAAACUAAACUGGAAGGGGGGCAGGGAGAGUGCUCCCUGUUUCAAAGGAUUUUCUAUUUUCUCAUCUCCUUCUUUCCUUUCUAUUGUUCUGCCUGAUUUUCGCUGUUCUCUGUAAUGGCAUUUCCUUAAGGUCAAUCUAUUGUUAUUUAGGAGUGUGAUAGAGGUAAGUCAGGCUGAGUCAUGCAAUAUUUGCCAACUCCACACCUUUCAGCAUUCUGCUGCAGAGAAUGGAGAUUUGCCCUUGCUGUCAUUGCUCAACAUUUUCCUCCCUUCCUGACACAUUACAGGUGCCAAGGAUGCAGCUUUCAGGGCUAACCACAGCUGUGUUCUACUAAGAAAAAAACCCAACACUAUGGAAGAUGAAUUCAUGGUGGGAAGACUCACACUGGAGUAAAUGUAUUAACAUUCGAUACUGUACUCUGCAAGAAAAUCCAGUGACUACAUUAGGGAUAUUCAUGAUAUGAGAUAUAAAACAUCAUGGUUUUCAAAAUAUGUCCCUAAUUUGGCAUGUUCAGAUAAAUGAGGAGAACAAAUUAUACAGCCUUUGCUUUUUGCAAGUAUUCAGAAAGAAAUGUGAUGAAGAACAAGUUUGUUCAAGACCUGUUUUUCAGAUCUGCAUUGACUUCUACCCACAUCAAUCAGUCCUUGUCAGGGAAAGUAAAUGUUUCACAGACUGGAUCAAACACUGGUUAAUAAGUUAUUUGAGAAUCAAUCUAUAUUUAUCCAGGUUCUGCCUGUUAAUACACAUUGUGGAUUAUUUCCGCUUCUAACUCCUCUACGUUUCUCUGUGGGUUUAUCAUUGAGUAUUCCAAAAGCAGAGUGGUAAAAUGCUCUAGUUGAAAAACAAAACAGACUGGAAAAAGAAAAAUGCAAUAGAUCUGGAAAGCUCAUUUGAAAUUUAUGAGGGAUUUGAAUUUGAAUAUCUGAAUUUGCCAGCCCACAAAGGAAGAAAGUAGGAGGCUGGGAGUGAAGAAGUUUCCUGUGGUUCUUCCUUUAUAAAAAGCGACAAAGGAAGGAACUCUGUACUCAGGCAGACUUUGUAAAGCUGUUCAGUCUGUGCCUAUAUCAAGACUGCUGUCAGGAUGGUGAUAGAGCUCAGGAAAGCUUUCUGGGCAUUAACUUGUCUUGCUCUUACCUCUGUUCACACAUCCACAGCAUAAGGACCCUGUCCACUGACCUGCAGCUUCCAAAAAACAGAUAGGUUUGGUACACUGUAUGUUCAAAUAAAUUGUAAGAUCUUUUCUCACAGGAUGCAGAGUUUAGCAGUCUCUUUCAGUAUUUGCUACUGGAGGUAACUGUAUAUAAUGCAUCCAAGACAGUUUUGCAUAAACCAGGGGUUCUCCGUUUCCAUAAUGUGGAUCACAUCCAAACAGAGGGACUCCUCUUUAGUCUCAAAUACCACACUCAGUCUUAUGGGCAAAUAACAAUCCUACAACAGCAUUUUUUUUACAAGGACUUUUGAUAUCUUUUCACAAUAAUAAGGUAAAAACCAGGCAAUAAUACUUAGAACAAGGCAAUCCAACAGACGGUUUCCUACAGAACACAGAAGUGCUGACUACUGUGUAAAUUGUUCAUGGUCUGUGGACCAUGAAUCAUUGCAUCCUUCAUAAAAAUAGACCUUGGAAACCUACUUAUCUGAAUACAAUUGGUACGUGCAAAUAAGGACUGUAUGUAGGUUAAGAAGGCAAAAGGAUACAGAAGAGCUUUCAGAAAGAAUGACUGGGUUCAGGGAAAUUUUGUGACUCAGGGAAUGGGAUGCUGUUUUACUCAAGAGCAUGUGCAUGCUUCUAUGACAGUCAUAGACCAGGGAGAGCACUGGUUUUUGAAAGACAGGAAAGUAGGUUUUUAGCCGUUUGGGUGCUAAGAGCUGUCUUGACAUAGAAAACUGGGAAAAUAAAGCUACUUAUUAGAACUGGGGAAGCAACUUCAGGGAGGAGCUAUGGAACUCGAAAGGGCGGGUUUGAAGAGGAAGAUUAACUCCCUGGAACUGUCAAGCUCGAGCUAGAUGCUGAAAUAAAUAAAUAUGAAAGCAAUAGUUUGCAGCUACAAGACCUUACUGUCUCUCUUUGGUGCUACUCUGGAAGAAAAGCAUAGAAACCUCUCCGAGAAUAAAGGUUGCCUUUGUCACAUCUUAGUGGUAAAGUUUAAAAAACAGACAGUGCUGGCUCUUAGGCAGGCAGCAUAAAGAGCAGGGGGGAAGGACCUGUGCUGGCACAAUACCUCUUUUUGGUUGUGAAGUGGUAACUAUGAAAUGGUUCCUCAGUUUGGUUUAACUUCUUCUAAGAGAUAAACUGACCUAGUAGAGGGUGAAAGGAAAUUAAUAUAGUUCAUGACUGAGGACAUGUCUUUUUUUUGUAGGAGAUGAAGAAGUAAGCAGCAUACUUUUGAAUUUAGAACAAAUCUGAGUUCAAUGAACUGAUACCUGGAAGGCUGGUGACAUUCAUGCUUUACGCAGUGUAUUAAUUCAAAGGAAACCACUAGCAGCUUGUGGCCGGAAUAGGUGCUUUUGUCUUAAGUAAAUUAAUUCAUUAAAUUAACAAAUGAUGAGGCUACAACAAUAGAGCGAGGAAAUGAAGACAUGAUUAUGAGGGUCAGCAUAGUGUUGGCUAAGAUAAAGCACAGCACAGAUGGCUUUUCAGAGAUGACAGGCUAAAGGAUUGCUGAUAUGGAAGAUAUCUACAACAACUGAGAAGUGAAUUUAACAGUAGAGUCAUAUUGUUUUUCCAUGGCCUUGAACUUCCUUUUCUUAAGCAAUCAAAAUUUGGCAGAGAUUUUUAAUGGCACUUAUAUGUGCCUGUUAUGUUUCAUACUGCUUCUACUAGAAGAAUGCUUUUACUACAUCUAUUAAAAGGUUUAUAGUUUUGCACUUUUGCAUAAUUACAUCUGUCCCAUCAGAAAAAUUUCUAGGCUACCAGUUGCUGUCACUUACCAGGUGCUGUCACAGUAUAGUGACAGCAACUCUGAUUAGGUUCCACUAGUUAUUGAAAAUAAUGAAAAGUACCUGCAAAUCAAGAAGUAUCAUUGGUAUUUGUAGGGGUUUUUUUUAAAGCUCUGUAAGGACAGCUGAACUCUUCUGUUAAAGGAGCAAAUGCAGAUGAAAACUAAGCAUUACAGGAAAAUGUACUGUUGGUAGUAUUGGAGAUUUUAAAGUACAACAUUCAAAUUGUUAAUUUGCUAAAGGAGUUUACAACUCAUGCCACCUUGUUUUCAUGGAAGACUUCCAAACAAGUUUUCAACAAUCAUCUGAGCUGUAAGAUCAGCCUUGUAUCAUAUGAUGCGGGGAUAGAAAAAUCACAAGCUUGAAAAAAGGAAAUGCAGAGCUGCUGUACAAUUAACCAUUUCCUCUUUUAUAUUUUGUGCAUACAUCUGAAUAACGACUGACUGUAAAUUCCACUACUUCCCAUGGAAAACUAACACUAAAUUUAAAAGACAAUUUUUCUGCACCACGUUUGUUCCUGGCUUCUAUCACAUUUACUGAAUUUUCAUAUAUCUAUCUGUGCCUUAGGAGACCCACUCACCUUUACAAAAAUGUAGUUUUGAAAAUAAGCCUUAAGAACCUUCCAGACUCAGGGGUAGAAAAGGAAGGAAAAUCAAAACUAAGACAGGGUAUGUGCUGGAGAGAAGAGGGAGUCCUCCAAGAGACCAUAAAUUUCUCUUCAUUUUACCAACAUAUAGAUUCAUGUUGGUAAUCCACGCGGCUGCUGAAUCAUAGAUUUAUUUUACAAGUAACCUGUAGGUCUUACAAAUAAAAAUUCAGUGCUGUAAAAUCAUUGUAUGGGCACAUAAGACCUGAGUGAAUCACAUGCAUUUCAAAUCUUCUGGUCCUGGAGGUGAGCAGCACAGAAUCUGCAGAUAAAAGCAAUGCCAUCCAAAAUAUCAUCACUUUGGGGUCUGUGGAGACAGUGGUGGGGAUGUGAUGUGCUGGGGGCUAGAAUGUUAAUUUUCCACAUGUUCGGUGUUAAACAAGUCUAUAAAUCAAGGCUCCAGGAAUCAAUUUUUCCCAUGUUCAUUUUGGGGGACAGUAAGUGAAGCUUGUCUGCAUAACAUGUGAAUGAUUCAUACUUUAGGCAUUUUCACCAUGCCUAAGAUCUCACUUGUCUCUUCUCAAUACAACUCUAAGUUUUUGUACUGUAAGUCAAAAGCUUAUGAAAAGGACUUGGGAUGAUUUUGUGAUUUAUGAGAGGUAGCGACAAGCAUGGAAUGGAUGUGCUGUGACAUCUUCAGAAAAUAGUUGGUCACCUGUGACCACAGCAGACCCUUCCUGGUGAUUACAUUGUCCCUCCCAGUCCUUUUAUCUGUUUUUGUCCUGUGCCCACCAGUGCUAAAGGCUGUGAAAAGCUGGUGUCUGCUGUCUUUAGGGAAAUCUGUGGAUUUCAUACUUGACUCACAGACAUCUAUGUUGCACCACUGAUGAUGCUAAUUUACAAAGACAGUUAAUACUGAGGGCUAUCAGUCUAUCUACUGAUCAUAUGCAUUUGGAGACUAAGAAAACAUCUUCACAAGAUGAAAAGAAGCAGUUUCCACCAGUGUGACUCAGUCCUAAGUAUAUGAGGUUUUUGCUUCAUGGUUCAGCAUCUGUACUACUUGCUGCAUCUGAAGACAGUUAUCAACAGUCAAAAGUCAGCAAGAAAUCUCCCAGCAGCUUCAAGAGCAAAGAGAAAAGGUGCUGAACUACUAUGUAUCAUUCUCCCAAUUCAGGGUUAAGCAACACAGGCAAAAAGCAGCAACUACUCUUGCCCAUUUAAUACUCUGUGCCGAGAGAAUUUUUGCCUCCUGAUCUCUUAAUCUAGUUCUUGUCAGUGUUCUCCUUUCACUGAAAAAAAAUCCAAACCACAGACAAAUACAUAUCACACUUAGCAAUAUACUUAAAUGGAGAGAUGAAAAAAAUGUCACCUAUGGCUGCCCAUUUAUCAGCAUCUUUGUCAUUCUGAGAAAUAGAGAUGAAAAUUUAAAAAACACCAAUGCAUUUCAACUCUGCCAUUCCUAGGAUUAUUCUUUCUGUGCAUGCUUCUCUGCCUUGCAGGGUAAACACAUAAAGCAAUGAAUAGACAAGAAGCACUGCCAGCAAAAGAGAAUUUACAAAUCUUCAAACGAUGUUGGAUGUGAGUGGGCAGACCGUGACAAAAUGUUAACACUUCAUCAAAUCUAACUAGUUUGCCACUACAUAUUUAUGCUAUAAACUGUGAACUGGAGUUCCUCUGUGGGAGAGUAACCUAAAUGAAAUGACAAGAAGCAAAAAGACAACUGCUUUUGCAGCCCAUUCCCUGAUGUGCACUGAUAGAUACCAGACUCAGCCACCCCCUACACUUCUGUGCUCAGUCUCUCACAACUUGACUUUUUUCUGUGAAGGCUAAUUAAAAGGCAAAGGCAUUAGAUCAAUGAAACACAAGGAAAAUUGCUGAAAACAUGUUGAGAAUGGGCACUCCCAUGAAUGAGGCAAAGAGAGAGGAAUAUGUUUACAGUUCUUUCACUGCUCCAAAGAAAGUUCGCCAAGAUGCUACCAGAG